Molecule: ribosomal RNA, 557 nt
Filed under: uncultured bacterium
Lineage: Bacteria
Description: bacterial SSU rRNA
Rfam family: Bacterial small subunit ribosomal RNA
Source: RNAcentral
ACGGGUGAGUAACGCGUGGGAACCUACCCAGAACUUCGGAAUAACACAUGGAAACGUGUGCUAAUACCGGAUACGCCCUACGGGGGAAAGAUUUAUCGGUUUUGGAUGGGCCCGCGUAAGAUUAGCUAGUUGGUGAGGUAAUGGCUCACCAAGGCGACGAUCUUUAGCUGGUCUGAGAGGAUGAUCAGCCACACUGGGACUGAGACACGGCCCAGACUCCUACGGGAGGCAGCAGUGGGGAAUAUUGGACAAUGGGCGCAAGCCUGAUCCAGCCAUGCCGCGUGAGUGAUGAAGGCCUUAGGGUUGUAAAGCUCUUUCAGUAGGGAAGAUAAUGACGGUACCUACAGAAGAAGCCCCGGCUAACUUCGUGCCAGCAGCCGCGGUAAUACGAAGGGGGCUAGCGUUGUUCGGAUUUACUGGGCGUAAAGCGCACGUAGGCGGAUCGUUAAGUUAGGGGUGAAAUCCUGGAGCUCAACUCCAGAACUGCCUCUAAUACUGGCGGUCUAGAGUCCGGAAGAGGUGAGUGGAACUCCUAGUGUAGAGGUGGAAUUCGUAGA